RNAcentral lists this long non-coding RNA (1049 nucleotides) under Populus trichocarpa (black cottonwood). Its description in RNAcentral is "long non-coding RNA (PTRI_LNC001721)". The record is from RNAcentral. Lineage: Eukaryota; Viridiplantae; Streptophyta; Magnoliopsida; Malpighiales; Salicaceae.
UCACGCACGCCCGCUAUAGGAGCAUGUAAUUAAAAUGCCAGAAGAAGGGAAAGCGCAACUUACCUGGUGCUGGAAGUGGCGAUCCGGAUUUUUCAGUCUUUCUUGGUCGUCUAUCCUUGCCUCAAGAUCCCUGCGUUCGUUCGUUCCCCUUCUGUCGGUGUUCCCUUCUGUCAGCUGCUCGUUCCUCUCCUUUUUUUUUUAGCCUUUUCCUCUGGUUUUGGAAGCUGGUGUUGGAGAAGAGGCGGUCAGUGGGUUUCUUGUUUCACUGUCCUCCUCUCUACGUCCCUUUUCCUUGUUUUGCUGUGUUAUUCCUUGUUUCUCUGGUUUUUUUUUUUUGUCCCCUCUCUGUUUUCGUUUGUGCUCUCUGUUUACUUCUUUCGUGUUCUCCCCCUCAGUUUUUUUCGUUCUCAGUCGCUCUCUAUCUCUCCUGCCGGUUCCCCCUGGCUUUUUCGUGCUCCUCGGUUCUACUCUUGUUUUUCUUUCCCUCGUUUCUGCCCUUUUUCCCUAGUUUUUCUUCCCCCUGUUCGUGGCUUUUUCUUUAGCCUCCUCUGUUUCUUUGAGAAGAAACAGAGGAAUGCAAGUCUGCUCUUCUUCUUCCUUUUCCCCCCCUCGGUUCUGUCUCUCUCUCUCGGUGUGUUUCUGUUUUCGUUGUUUUAAGGCCGGUAUUGGUAAGGGAAGGGUUCACUUCUGGUAUGGGGUUCUAAAACAACACUUAAAAAUUCGGCUGGUAUCUUUAGGUUUCUCUCUUUUGGUUUCGUUCGUCCCCUCUCUCUCCAACCAACCUUUGCUCUCGGUGCUGCUCGGUUUAUAUAGGGCUCGACGGGUGGUAACGGGCGGUAGGCUAACGGUCGGCCACCAUUAAGGCGCCCAUAACUGAAGCCAACGGACGACGAUUACUGCUGCAACGUUCUUCCCUCCAUUACUGCAGAAACGGUCACUGGCUUAAAGGAGAAGAAGAUGAACAGCAUCCUCAAAACGACGCCGUUUGGAGAUAAACAGGCCAUUUUCACUUUGACCCAUGAAGUUUUGAAAAUUUUAUAAUUAAACCC